AACGAACGCUGGCGGCAUGCCUAACACAUGCAAGUCGAACGAGACCUUCGGGUCUAGUGGCGCACGGGUGCGUAACGCGUGGGAAUCUGCCCUUGGGUUCGGAAUAACAGCGAGAAAUUGCUGCUAAUACCGGAUGAUGACGUAAGUCCAAAGAUUUAUCGCCCAAGGAUGAGCCCGCGUAGGAUUAGCUAGUUGGUGAGGUAAAGGCUCACCAAGGCGACGAUCCUUAGCUGGUCUGAGAGGAUGAUCAGCCACACUGGGACUGAGACACGGCCCAGACUCCUACGGGAGGCAGCAGUGGGGAAUAUUGGACAAUGGGCGAAAGCCUGAUCCAGCCAUGCCGCGUGCAGGAAGAAGGCCCUCUGGGUUGUAAACUGCUUUUGAUAGGGAACAAAUGCCACUUGCGAGUGGAGCUGAGUGUACCUAUAGAAUAAGCACCGGCUAACUCCGUGCCAGCAGCCGCGGUAA
RNAcentral lists this ribosomal RNA (468 nucleotides) under uncultured bacterium. RNAcentral describes it as "bacterial SSU rRNA". It matches the Rfam family "Bacterial small subunit ribosomal RNA", at positions 29 to 523 of the family's 1533-position model. The record is from RNAcentral.